GGUUGAGUACUCCAAAUCUAAAAAAAUCCAAAACCCGAAUUUGCUGAAAGUUUUUGAGCACCGACAUGAUGCUCAAGGAAAAUGCAAACUGGAAUAUUUCAGAUCUCAUAUGUUCAGAUAACAGGUGCUCUACCGGUGAGGCCUUUGAAAGGUGGAACCCUCAUGGAUGGGAUUAGUGCCCUUCUAAAAGAGGACUCAGAGAGCCUUUUUGCCCUUUCUGCUAUUUGAGGAACAGUGAGAAGACAGCCAUCUAUGACCCAGAAAGUGAGCCCUUGCCAAACACUAGAUCUACCAGAGCCUUGAUCUUGGACUUGCCAGCCUCCAGAACUGGGAGAAAUAAAUUUUUAUUGUGUAAGACAACUAGUCUGUGAUAUUUCGUCAUGGCAGCCAAAGCAGACCAAUGUAUCUAAUAAAAAUUAUGUAUGGCCUAAUAUGAAGAAAAUGAUGAAUUUUUCAGAGAGAGAUAAAAAUGACCCAAAUAACCCUGGAUUGGGAGGUUCGGUAUUGUGAAUAUGGGGAUUCUCUCCCAAAAUAAUAGAUAUUUAAUAGAAUCCUACUUAAAGUUACAAAGGAGUUACAAGGAGUGUUCCUUUACCAGCUGAUUCAAUAAUUCAAUAAUUCAAUAAUUUCUCAAGAGAAAUUAUGUUGGAAUAACAAACAUUUUUUGGACAAGAAAAGAAAAAAAAAUACAAAUGUGGGUGGGCUAACUCUAAUCCUAACUCUGACCCUGACCCUGACCCUGACCCUGUGUGCCUAUGUGUAUAUGUGCAUGUGUGUAUGUAUAUUGAAGAUGGUAUUUCAAAUCAAUGACAUAACAAUGGCAUGGUCAAUAAAUGGUAUUUAAAUAAUGAGAUAUUCAUCAAACAAAUAAAGUUAGAUCCUUACCUAGCACCAUACACAAAUAAAUAAUUUCAGGCAAAUAUAUUAAAGAUUUAACAAAGUAUUUGCAGUGAUCACUGUGUUUUGUUUUGUUUUGUUUUGUUUUGUUUUGUUUUGUUUUGUUUGAGACAGGGUCUUGCUCCGUUACAGUCAUGGCUUACUGAAGCCUAAACCUCCCAGGCUCAAGUGAUCCUCCAGAAGCCUCCCACAUAACUGGUACUACAGGUGUGUGCCAUCCCACCCAGCUAAUAUUUUGGUUUUGUUUUUUGGUAGAGGUGAGGUCUUAUUAUGUUUUUCAGGCUGGUCUUGAAUUCCUGGGCUCAAGUGAUCCUCCUGCCUCAGCCUCCCAAAGUGCUGGAAUUAAAGACAUGAGUCACUACAACCAACUGAUCACCGUGUUUUAUUCUCCCUCCUU
This 1294-nucleotide long non-coding RNA is filed under the name Papio anubis (olive baboon). RNAcentral describes it as "lncRNA (ENSPANG00000039551.1)". The record is from RNAcentral. Lineage: Eukaryota; Metazoa; Chordata; Mammalia; Primates; Cercopithecidae.